This 496-nucleotide ribosomal RNA is filed under the name Chrysomela mainensis. RNAcentral's name for it is "partial 16S ribosomal RNA". The stretch from base 369 to 496 matches the Rfam family "Bacterial large subunit ribosomal RNA", at positions 2473 to 2601 of the family's 2925-position model. The record is from RNAcentral. Lineage: Eukaryota; Metazoa; Arthropoda; Insecta; Coleoptera; Chrysomelidae.
UAAUUUAAAGUCUAGCCUGCCCAAUGAUAAUUGAAUGGCCGCGGUAUUUUGACCGUGCUAAGGUAGCAUAAUCAAUAGUUUUUUAAUUGAAAGCUGGAAUGAAGGGUUGGAUAAAAAAAUAACUGUUUUUAUUUAAUUUAAUUAGAAUUUUAUAUUUAAGUUAAAAAGCUUAAAUUUUGUUAAAAGACGAGAAGACCCUAUAGAGUUUAAUAAAUAAUUAUAUUAUUAUAUUUAGAAUUAAUUUUAUUAGUUAUAUUAUUUAUUUAAUUGGGGUGAUUAAAAAAUUCAAAUAACUUUUUUUAUAUUAUAACAUUUAUAGAUGAAUAUUUGAUCCAUAGUUAAUGAUUAAAAGAUAAAAUUACCUUAGGGAUAACAGCGUUAUUUUUUUUUAGAGUUCAAAUCGAAAGAAAAGAUUGCGACCUCGAUGUUGGAUUAAAAUAAAUUUUUGGUGUAGAAGCUAAAAUAUUAGGUCUGUUCGACCUUUAAAAUUUUACAU